Molecule: long non-coding RNA, 797 nt
Filed under: Triticum aestivum (bread wheat)
Lineage: Eukaryota; Viridiplantae; Streptophyta; Magnoliopsida; Poales; Poaceae
Description: long non-coding RNA (TAES_LNC007104)
Source: RNAcentral
AAUCUUUGUCAAACCGAGGAGAACAAGACGCUGGUCAGGAAUUCCGGAAAAGCUUUAGAGGAUGUAACGACGAAAUUAAUCUCAUUGCAUCAAAGAUUCACGAAUUACGCAUCAACAACACGGGCCCGAUCUGGAGGCGCCGAAAGAAUUGUGCUACAAGCCGGGCGCAACCACAUCGCACAGAAAUUCUACAUCAGAACAUCUCUCCACUUCAUGACAAUUCACGAGACAGACAGAACAGAUCCAAUAUGCCGCUGGGCCGGUAUCCGGAUCCGAACUACUAUUUCUUGCCGGCGGCGUUCUUCUUGGCGUCGUCGGCCCCCUGCGUGGCUUGCGCCGCCUUCUUGGCUGUCUUCUCCUGCAGCGCCUUGGCGUCCCUCUCUCGUCGCUGCUCCGGCGUGAGCCCGUCGUCGCGGCCCUUGGCCCCCGGCUUCCGCGCCUGCGCCCUCUGCCUGUCCCGCUCCCUCUGGUCGCCGCGUGCAGCCGCCAGCAAGGUCAAGGAACAACACGUACAGAUCCAACCAAAACACACACGCACACGGUAACAGAUAAAGUAAUAAUCCGGCCAAUUCUAGACAAGAAUCAACGAAAAUUAGAUGAACAGAGAAGGCAAUUUUAUUCGCGGUGAAGGAUAUGAGUCAUCGCUGCUCCGAGAUCGAGAGAUUUGGGGGACGGGAGAAAGAUUGAUGGAAAGAGGGAGGGCGCUGGUCGGGUCGGGUCGGGUCGUAGUAUAAUUGUUGUUGGCUUGGAUCGUGAGGUCGAGACGGGGGUGGGGCGUGUGGCGCUGUAUAUGUAGG